Molecule: ribosomal RNA, 252 nt
Filed under: uncultured bacterium
Lineage: Bacteria
Description: partial 16S ribosomal RNA
Rfam family: Bacterial small subunit ribosomal RNA
Source: RNAcentral
UACGUAGGUCCCGAGCGUUAUCCGGAUUUAUUGGGCGUAAAGCGAGCGCAGGCGGUUAGAUAAGUUUGAAGUGAAAGGCUGUGGCUUAUCCAUAGUAUGCUUUGGAAACUGUUUAACUUGAGUGCAGAAGGGGAGAGUGGAAUUCCAUGUGUAGCGGUGAAAUUCGUAGAUAUAUGGAGGAACACCGGUGGCGAAAGCGGCUCUCUGGUCUGUACCUGACGCUGCGGCUCGAAAGCGUGGGGAGCAAACAGG